UUAGCAUAUCAAUAAGCGGAGGAAAAGAAACCAACAGGGAUUGCCCCAGUAACGGCGAGUGAAGCGGCAACAGCUCAAAUUUGAAAUCUGGCUUCGGCCCGAGUUGUAAUUUGCAGAGGAUGCUUUUGGUGCGGUGCCUUCCGAGUUCCCUGGAACGGGACGCCACAGAGGGUGAGAGCCCCGUAUGGUCGGACACCAAUCCUGUGUAAAGCUCCUUCGACGAGUCGAGUAGUUUGGGAAUGCUGCUCUAAAUGGGAGGUAAAUCUCUUCUAAAGCUAAAUACCGGCCAGAGACCGAUAGCGCACAAGUAGAGUGAUCGAAAGAUGAAAAGCACCUUGAAAAGGGGGUUAAACAGUACGUGAAAUUGUUGAAAGGGAAGCACUUGUGACCAGACUUGGGCCGGGCGGCUCAUCAGGGGUUCUCCCCUGUGCAUUCCGCCCGGUACAGGCCAGCAUCGGUUCUUACCGGGGGAUAAGAACGGCAGGAACGUGGCUCCCUCUCGGGGGAGUGUUAUAGCCUGCCGUACGAUACCCUGGCGGGGACCGAGGUUCGCGCUUCCGCAAGGAUGCUGGCGUAAUGGUUACUAGUGACCCGUCUUGAAACACGGACCAAGGAGUCGUCCAUUAGAGCGAGCGUUUGGGUGUAAAACCCGCACGCGUAAUGAAAGUGAAAUUAGGUGAGAGCUUCGGCGCAUCAUCGACCGAUCCUGAUGUUCUCGGAUGGAUUUGAGUAAGAGUUUUAACGGACGGACCCGAAAGACAGUGAACUAUGCUUGUAUAGGGUGAAGCCAGAGGAAACUCUGGUGGAGGCUCGCAGCGGUUCUGACGUGCAAAUCGAUCGUCAAAUAUGAGCAUGGGGGCGAAAGACUAAUCGAACUGUCUAGUA
RNAcentral lists this ribosomal RNA (885 nucleotides) under Tubakia dryinoides. RNAcentral describes it as "eukaryotic LSU rRNA". It matches the Rfam family "Eukaryotic large subunit ribosomal RNA", at positions 35 to 949 of the family's 3401-position model. The record is from RNAcentral. Lineage: Eukaryota; Fungi; Ascomycota; Sordariomycetes; Diaporthales; Tubakiaceae.